UCCAAUUUUUUGAUUUCUCUGUUUUUUUUUAUUAAAUCCUUCUUAUGUCACGCACUGAUGAUUUUAUAUUCUUUUCUUGAGUGGAAGCAGAACAGAAUCUGACGAUGAAGAGCGAACAGACUCGUGCAGUCUCGAGCUGCGUGAGUUUAGUACAGUGGUUAUUGUGGAAUCUCGACUGAGAGGAGAGCAAUUGGUCAUGGGUGGUUGGCUUCUUUCCGUGUGGGCUUUGUGAAUGAGUUAGUUGUUGACUCUUGACUUGUAAUAUUUUGAUGAUCAAUGCUCAGUAAUCUAUAUGCAGGGUAGAAGGGAUUAAGACUAGCGAUUGGAUUUGGUUAUCUUCGGUAAUCAGUGCCGAUUUAUAAUAUUUUGCCCUAAUAUCUAUGAAUCGAAAACCUGUGUGACGAUGCAUUGGUUGAGUAUAAUUUUAUUUUUUUGUCCUCGGACCCAGGUCUACUAAUUGUUUCGUGGAUUGGAUUGGGUUCCAAUUGGAAUAGGUGAAAUUCAAUUCAAGAACUUGCUAUUUUUAUUUGGUCAUUUCGUAUAUAGAAUAUGGUUACUUUUGCUUAUGAAGUGAGUUGCUUCUGCAGCUAAGCGGGGAUGCUUAAGCUGGAUCCUCAGAGCGAAAAUGCUCUUAUUGUGGAAGCACAGAGCUUCAGGCUUUUCAUUUUGCUGGGAAGUUCCAUAGCUUCAUAACAUUUGUCUGCAACAAAGAAUGCUAUCAAUCCAAAAGGCUUGUUUCAAGUACUGGUGUGAAUAGAUUUUUCUUUCAAGUUCACGAAAACUCUGUUCUAUAAUUCAUCUUAUGGUUUUACUUGUACGAAAACAUGAUUUAUGUUGUGUGUUCUUGAGGAAACAACUAUAGUAGUACGUACAGGGUGCUUGUGACAGCAGAAAAUGCUUUGAAUUGCUUGAAUUUCAAGGAACUGAUUGCUGUGCCCCCUUAUCUGUUUGAAUAUUUGUAGUCUUGGGAGGCUAAAGUAAAAUCCUUCGUAGGAAUUUUUGCAGCUUUACCUUUUCAUUACUUGACUAAUUGAACUUGCCUUUGUCGUCA
Populus trichocarpa (black cottonwood) is the source of this 1051-nucleotide long non-coding RNA. RefSeq lists it as uncharacterized. The record is from RefSeq and is a predicted model, not a curated record. The transcript is spliced from 2 exons. NCBI's taxonomy places the organism in Eukaryota, Viridiplantae, Streptophyta, Magnoliopsida, Malpighiales, Salicaceae.